GAUGGAGCAAUUAUCCCAUUAAGAGACGAGUUGAAGAAUUACCAACCAUUCUCACUAUGUGAUUGCACAGCCACCAGUCAUGUAGACCGUGCAGCCAUCAGAGAAUUGAAAGGCUAUGAAGAAACCAACAACGUCAUAUAUUUUCUAAGACGAUUGAACGAUAACUUUGCUGCACCAAGAGCACAGGUGCUAUUUGAAGAUAACCUUCCGUCAAUUGAAAGAGUCGUCCAACGUAUGGUGCAGCAUGAGAGAUAGCUCUAUGGAACGCAGACAAAACCUGGAGGAAGUGGCAACCUCACCAUGGCCGUGCAAGGGUUUAAUGCUUAUGGAAACUGUAAAAGUCAGCGGAGACCAUACAGACCAUAACUUGAUGGUAAGAAACGACCACUUUGCGCUCACUGUAAGCUGCUUGGACACACCAAAGAUAGGUGCUUUUUAAGAAUGAAUGGCGACCUUGAAUAACUCCCAGAACAUUCCCAAAGAUUGGCAGUAACGCGAUGCGACACUUUCCUAAUCAAAGUUACAGACCUCAAGCAAAUGCUGCAGUGAGUGCCAAUGCUCAAACACCAGGAGGAAUUCAACUCUCUCAGAACCAGUUUGCACAAUUAAUGUCUAUGAUACAAGGAAAAGGCAGUGGAGAGAGUUCCU
RNAcentral lists this long non-coding RNA (648 nucleotides) under Linum usitatissimum (flax). RNAcentral's name for it is "long non-coding RNA (LUSI_LNC004234)". Lineage: Eukaryota; Viridiplantae; Streptophyta; Magnoliopsida; Malpighiales; Linaceae. The record is from RNAcentral.